RNAcentral lists this transfer RNA (73 nucleotides) under Stegodyphus dumicola. Its description in RNAcentral is "tRNA-Thr". It matches the Rfam family "tRNA". Rfam says of the family: Transfer RNA (tRNA) molecules are approximately 80 nucleotides in length. Their secondary structure includes four short double-helical elements and three loops (D, anti-codon, and T loops). Further hydrogen bonds mediate the characteristic L-shaped molecular structure. tRNAs have two regions of fundamental functional importance: the anti-codon, which is responsible for specific mRNA codon recognition, and the 3' end, to which the tRNAs corresponding amino acid is attached (by aminoacyl-tRNA synthetases). tRNAs cope with the degeneracy of the genetic code in two manners: having more than one tRNA (with a specific anti-codon) for a particular amino acid; and 'wobble' base-pairing, i.e. permitting non-standard base-pairing at the 3rd anti-codon position. The record is from RNAcentral. Lineage: Eukaryota; Metazoa; Arthropoda; Arachnida; Araneae; Eresidae.
GCCUUCGUAGUGUAGUGGUCAGCACGCUGGGCGCGUAUUCCAGAGGUCCGUGGUUCGAUUCCUGGCGAGGGCG